GGCCAGACUCCUACGGGAGGCAGCAGUGGGGAAUAUUGCACAAUGGGGGAAACCCUGAUGCAGCGACGCCGCGUGAGUGAAGAAGUCUUUCGGUAUGUAAAGCUCUAUCAGCAGGGAAGAAAAUGACGGUACCUGAUUAAGAAGCCCCGGCUAACUACGUGCCAGCAGCCGCGGUAAUACGUAGGGGGCAAGCGUUAUCCGGAUUUACUGGGUGUAAAGGGAGCGUAGACGGCAGCACAAGUCUGGAGUGAAAGGCCGGGGCUUAACCCCGGACUGCUUUGGAAACUGGGAAACUGGAGUGCAGGAGAGGUAAGUGGAAUUCCUAGUGUAGCGGUGAAAUGCGUAGAUAUUAGGAGGAACACCAGUGGCGAAGGCGGCUUACUGGACGGUAACUGACGUUGAGGCUCGAAAGCGUGGGGAGCAAACAGGAUUAGAUACCCCCGUACUC
RNAcentral lists this ribosomal RNA (448 nucleotides) under uncultured bacterium. RNAcentral describes it as "bacterial SSU rRNA". It matches the Rfam family "Bacterial small subunit ribosomal RNA", at positions 329 to 795 of the family's 1533-position model. The record is from RNAcentral.